This 357-nucleotide transfer-messenger RNA is filed under the name human gut metagenome. It matches the Rfam family "transfer-messenger RNA". Rfam says of the family: Bacterial tmRNA, also known as 10Sa RNA or SsrA, is named for its dual tRNA and mRNA-like properties. The record is from RNAcentral.
GGGGAUGUAUUUGGUUUCGACAGCAACCCAGAAGUAUAAAUAGCGAGUAGUGGAUGGCUGCUUUGGCCACUUAAAAAAAGCAGAAAUAAAAAUAAACGCUGAUAAAACAGAAUUAGCAUACGCUGCUUAAUUGUAGCGACGUUUUACCUAAAAUUCCCACAUUUUAGGAUAAAGCGACGACUUAGUGGGAAACGAAUCCGAUUUUUGUUUCAGAAAUCGGUGGGUAUCUUAUGAAACUACUUUAGUAUAGCUUUGUUUAUUAAGAUAUACUAAAGAAAAUAUAAUAAUAAACUGCACUCGGAGAAGUUUAUAUGGAAAGGUUGUUGGACAGGAGUUCGACUCUCCUCAUCUCCACCA